AGUGAACGCUGGCGGUAGGCCUAACACAUGCCAGUCGAACGGCAGCACAGUAAGAGCUUGCUCUUACGGGUGGCGAGUGGCGGACGGGUGAGGAAUACAUCGGAAUCUACUUUUUCGUGGGGGAUAACGUAGGGAAACUUACGCUAAUACCGCAUACGACCUACGGGUGAAAGCAGGGGAUCUUCGGACCUUGCGCGAUUGAAUGAGCCGAUGUCGGAUUAGCUAGUUGGCGGGGUAAAGGCCCACCAAGGCGACGAUCCGUAGCUGGUCUGAGAGGAUGAUCAGCCACACUGGAGCUGAGACACGGUCCAGACUCCUACGGGAGGCAGCAGCGGGGAAUAUUGGACAAUGGGCGCAAGCCUGAUCCAGCCAUACCGCGUGGGUGAAGAAGGCCUUCGGGUUGUAAAGCCCUUUUGUUGGGAAAGAAAAGCAGCAGGUUAAUACCCCGCUGUUCUGACGGUACCCAAAGAAUAAGCACCGGCUAACUUCGUG
This 492-nucleotide ribosomal RNA is filed under the name uncultured bacterium. Its description in RNAcentral is "partial 16S ribosomal RNA". It matches the Rfam family "Bacterial small subunit ribosomal RNA", at positions 29 to 507 of the family's 1533-position model. The record is from RNAcentral.